UACGGAGGGUGCAAGCGUUAAUCGGAAUUACUGGGCGUAAAGGGUGCGUAGGUGGUUUGGUAAGUUAUCUGUGAAAUCCCCGGGCUCAACCUGGGCAGGUCAGAUAAUACUGCUGAACUCGAGUAUGGGAGAGGGGAGUGGAAUUUCCGGUGUAGCGGUGAAAUGCGUAGAUAUCAAGAGGAACACCUGAGGUGAAGACGGGUUGCUGGGCCAACACUGACGCUGAGGCGCGAAAGCCAGGGGAGCAAACGGG
Molecule: ribosomal RNA, 253 nt
Filed under: uncultured bacterium
Lineage: Bacteria
Description: partial 16S ribosomal RNA
Rfam family: Bacterial small subunit ribosomal RNA
Source: RNAcentral